This 253-nucleotide ribosomal RNA is filed under the name uncultured bacterium. RNAcentral's name for it is "partial 16S ribosomal RNA". It matches the Rfam family "Bacterial small subunit ribosomal RNA", at positions 524 to 776 of the family's 1533-position model. The record is from RNAcentral.
UACAGAGGGUGCAAGCGUUAAUCGGAAUUACUGGGCGUAAAGCGCGCGUAGGUGGUUUGUUAAGUUGGAUGUGAAAUCCCCGGGCUCAACCUGGGAACUGCAUUCAAAACUGGGGAGCUAGAGUAUGGUAGAGGGUGGUGGAAUUUCCUGUGUAGCGGUGAAAUGCGUAGAUAUAGGAAGGAACACCAGUGGCGAAGGCGACCCCCUGGACUGCUACUGACACUGAGGUGCGAAAGCGUGGGGAGCAAACAGG